GAUGAACGCUGGCGGCGUGCCUAAUACAUGCAAGUCGAGCGGACAGACGAGGAGCUUGCUCCUCUGACGUUAGCGGCGGACGGGUGAGUAACACGUGGAUAACCUACCUAUAAGACUGGGAUAACUUCGGGAAACCGGAGCUAAUACCGGAUAAUAUAUUGAACCGCAUGGUUCAAUAGUGAAAGACGGUUUUGCUGUCACUUAUAGAUGGAUCCGCGCCGCAUUAGCUAGUUGGUAAGGUAACGGCUUACCAAGGCAACGAUGCGUAGCCGACCUGAGAGGGUGAUCGGCCACACUGGAACUGAGACACGGUCCAGACUCCUACGGGAGGCAGCAGUAGGGAAUCUUCCGCAAUGGGCGAAAGCCUGACGGAGCAACGCCGCGUGAGUGAUGAAGGUCUUCGGAUCGUAAAACUCUGUUAUUAGGGAAGAACAAAUGUGUAAGUAACUAUGCACGUCCUGACGGUACCUAAUCAGAAAGCCACGGCUAACUACGUG
Molecule: ribosomal RNA, 497 nt
Filed under: uncultured bacterium
Lineage: Bacteria
Description: partial 16S ribosomal RNA
Rfam family: Bacterial small subunit ribosomal RNA
Source: RNAcentral